GUCCACGUGGUGCCGCGGACCGCCGCAGAUCAGCAAUCUGCUCCCCUGAUAGUGAAAACUGUGGCAGCACUGCCCUCAUUUGUUACCGUCUUUGGAUAAAGAGGAAGUUUGAAGUUUGAUUUUGUGCAACACAUUGGAUCAGACGUUCACUGUCCAACAUCUGCUUUUCAGUUAUAUGGCUGAGAUGUAUUUAGUUUCAGCUUCUCAUUGGAAGAGGCAUGCAGACAACAUUUGCACUUAGACGGCAGGAGAUUGUCACUGGAGAUAAAACAAUAAAGGAUCUACUGGCUCAAUGGCCCGCCCUUAACAUGGAGUCACAGGUGUUUGCGGAGUUCCAUCGCAUCACCAAUGUGAAUCUCCGCAAUACAUUCUACGCAGAGCUUGAUCGUCAUACAAAAUCACUAGUUGCACUGUACAGGCAGAAGGCUUCUCACACAGGAAAGAUUCCAGAGGCCCUGCAGAGAAUCCUCAGAGAAUAUGAUAUGCAGGAGGAACAGGAUAUAAAUUUGAGGCGCACACUGUCACUUCGUGCGCUUUCAGUCUACUUGAGAGAGGAUGACACAGACUUUUAUAAA
Molecule: long non-coding RNA, 575 nt
Organism: Boleophthalmus pectinirostris (great blue-spotted mudskipper)
Lineage: Eukaryota; Metazoa; Chordata; Actinopteri; Gobiiformes; Gobiidae
Exons: 6
Source: RefSeq, a predicted model, not a curated record